This 473-nucleotide ribosomal RNA is filed under the name uncultured bacterium. RNAcentral describes it as "bacterial SSU rRNA". It matches the Rfam family "Bacterial small subunit ribosomal RNA", at positions 28 to 507 of the family's 1533-position model. The record is from RNAcentral.
GAUAAACGCUGGCGGCGUGCUUAACACAUUCAAGUCGAACGGAGUAUGUUUGGAAGCUUGCUUUUGGACAUACUUAGUGGCGGACUGGUGAGUAACGCGUGAGGAACCUGCCUUUCAGAGGGGGGACAACAGUUGGAAACGACUGCUAAUACCGCAUGACACAUCGAUGGGGCAUCCCAUUGAUGUCAAAGAUUUAUCGCUGAAAGAUGGCCUCGCGUCUGAUUAGCUAGUUGGUGAGGUAACGGCCCACCAAGGCGACGAUCAGUAGCCGGACUGAGAGGUUGAACGGCCACAUUGGGACUGAGAUACGGCCCAGACUCCUACGGGAGGCAGCAGUGGGGAAUAUUGGGCAAUGGGCGCAAGCCUGACCCAGCAACGCCGCGUGAAGGAAGGAGGCUUUCGGGUUGUAAACUUCUUUUGUCAGGGACGAGCAGAAGACGGUACCUGACGAAUAAGCCACGGCUAACUACGUG